GACGAACGCUGGCGGCGUGCUUAACACAUGCAAGUCGAGCGGUAAGGCCCUUUCGGGGGUACACGAGCGGCGAACGGGUGAGUAACACGUGGGUGACCUGCCUUUAGCUCUGGGAUAAGCCUGGGAAACUGGGUCUAAUACCGGAUAUGACCCUAUGGCGCAUGUUGUGGGGUGGAAAGCCUUGUGCGGCUAGGGAUGGGCCCGCGGCCUAUCAGCUUGUUGGUGGGGUGAUGGCCUACCAAGGCGACGACGGGUAGCCGGCCUGAGAGGGCGACCGGCCACACUGGGACCUGAGACACGGCCCAGACUCCUACGGGAGGCAGCAGUGGGGAAUCUUGCGCAAU
This 344-nucleotide ribosomal RNA is filed under the name uncultured bacterium. Its description in RNAcentral is "bacterial SSU rRNA". It matches the Rfam family "Bacterial small subunit ribosomal RNA", at positions 28 to 372 of the family's 1533-position model. The record is from RNAcentral.